ACGAAAUAAAAAAUUAAAAAACUCCUGCGAGGUCUCGUGUUUAGUCCGGGUAGAACGCGUAAUACCCGGCGCGUCUAAGGGUUCGGACUAGAAGUCGCCCACCGACGGUCGCCCGAGCCUCCGAGGCGCUGCUGCGCCGGCCGCCUCCUCGGCGUCGCGAUGAUGCUGACCAUGCCCAUGCGACGGCCGAGAGCAGCACAGCACAGAGAGGCCUCUGUUGAGGAAAACGAAGAGGGGGGGAUAGCGGCCCUCGAUCCGAUGCUGGCGUGCGCGCGGUGCAGAGCGAGCGUGGGCAGGGGGGAUCGGCGGCUACUCGACGGCGCGCCGAGGUACCCCGGCGGGCAGCCGGGGGGCGCCGGCCGGGAAGGGGCGGAGCCGCGCGGAGGCGCCGGGCAAGCCCCCAUGCUUAAGCACCUUCUUAGGUCAGGAGUUUUUGAGCACCUCUUAGCCACUACAGGGCCGUUACAAACCCGACGGCAGACCUGACAAGUCUACGUACCGAAGUUCAUCGAGGCCCCUACCACCCAAGAGAGCAGGAGUUAGUUAACUACUUCGUGGCUAAGGCGACAUGGGGACCGGCCUGUUCGUCGCCGGUGCUCAUACGUAAAACCCACCACCUAAACCACCCGACAUAUGACGAGACUCUGAUCUUAGAGAACAUACCGGACCAUUAUUGUUCGGAGUCCACUACGACCAACUAGUUAGACUUUCUAAACAUAAAUUCGGGUACAACAUACUCGAGAAUAGUCCUCUCCACCUACAGACCCUUUAUCGAGGCAUAAAAUGUCUCGAUGACUUCUUGUGAUCACAAGUUAAACACUUCCUAUCACAUUUCGAAGAAGCGGGAAGACUAGUGAAUUCUUCUCUCGGACCUCAUAGUACGUGACCACCUCAACAAGUAGAACUUUCACCGUGGCAACAACUUAUACUAACCGAGCAAGAUCGAGAUCCCCGACUUCGAUUCUAACUGCAGCAAGGUCCUAGACGGCUUAUACGUGAAGGAAAGUGUUGAAACCUUGUACGAAACUUUCAACUUUCACUUAACUUUUACAAUCUUUCCUCUUUCAAACCAUUCUUCAGGGGUGGAUAAGUCCACCGGUAACACCCUGACCCAAUGAGACCACAACUCGAUCGACGGUGAUAGAGACUCUCUAAUUUCUUGUGUCCCUGACAGUUUCGUUAGUUAAAAGUUUGUUGGUAGACAGGAUUGCGUGGUGGUCCUUUAGCACUUCGACGAGACUUCCAAGAACUCAGAGUUUUAUAGGUUGAAAAGAACCCUAUAAGCCACUUGACGUAGUCUCUCCAAAUACGUAGACUCCUAAGUCCAUCGUACCAACGUCUACGUUUUCUUCGACCACCACCGCUAUUCUUUGAUCAAAACCUUGAAGUUCGGCGAGUUUCUCCGGAGGUCUCGGUCCAAGACCUUCGACUAGACCAUAAUACCUGUCACCCAAGUGUUAGAGUCUAAGAAGCCAAUGUUGGAGGACUACGGGGUAUGCAAUAAGGAAACUUACCGGCCCCCGUUCAUCUCUGUCUCCUUUGGGAAGUUCAUUUCCCGGUAGGGGCCUGUAAACGUUAACCACUAAGUCGUCGAGAUUCUCUGGGUAGUCCUUUUAAAGAGGGUCGGUUGCGUGUCCAACGAAAAGUCGUUCGUCUAAAGCGACCAACCUUAGAGACCCGCCGUUAGUUACUGGCCGGGGAAAACGGCAAGUCCAAGGUUUUAGAACCACUCUACUACUGUGACCCAUCUUUGCUACGGCGCUAUUGUCGUUUGAAGUAGCUCCCUGACUGGAACCUUCCCGGGUAUCCCGUACGACGAUCCUUCGAUCACAUGACGGAGUCCUACGGGUGACUACUCGUGGCCCACUUCCAACCUCAGUCAACCAACCGUUUCCCGCGACAGCUAAGCGAGCGGAGAGACGUCUUGCGUCAUUCAUUGUACUAACCUUCGAGGACUACCAUUUCCUUUGGACGAUUAAGUACUUAACCCGCUCGACCUACUACAUAAACUCUAAACAAAAUACAUCAUGCUUAAAAGUCAAAGCUCGAAUGCAACGUGGAUUGAAGACUUGUAUGCUUAAAACUUAUAUUCAUAACAAAAAAACACCCCUUUAUAAUCCAUAAAACGAGGACUUACAAAAUGCAAACACGACCGUGUAGCUAAAGGUAUUCAUAUCGUAAAACGUUUGACUUCUAGGGUUUCCCCCUUAACUUUAAGUGUGGACUAACGCUCAGGGUUAGGUUUUUGACAUUUUUUUUUUUUUUGAGUUGGCUCCAGUCACGGUUCAAGUCGUAUCACAGAACUUCUUUUUUCCAACGUAGCGUUCCUAACGUUUAACGUUACCUUCCAACACUAGAACCAACAGUGUAGUGUAGGAGAACGUCGUUGGCGUUUAAUAGUGCCACCUUAAUGAACGGUUUUGUAUCGCUGACUUUUGGAGGUUGGUGUGCCCCUCCUUUUUAGAGUCCCUCCACGGCAGCACGUUGCUAGUGCGAGUGUACAAACCAACCGCGUACCAACGGCACCAACCACUCUCAACUGACGCGCAAACAAUGCGGCCUAGCUCUUUGACGGUGAUGAUUUCAGGUGGAGGCAAACAACAACAUCCACCGGUGGCGUGAAAGGGGAGGGUGGCGAGGGGGGUGGUGGCGGCGGCUGCGGUUGCGGUGGUUGGCGGCGCGGUACCUAGGGCUGAGGCUCUAGCGGAAGCUGAAGGGCGGGAUGGAGACGGUCAUGUUCUCGCCGGCGCACGUGGCGGGCCCGCCGCUGCGGAAGCGGGGGCGGCCGUGGCUGGGCGAGUGGCCGCAGCAGAGGUUCCUGUAGGUGCGGCCGGGGCGGGCGCGCGCGCAGAUGGAGGGCGGGCUGCGGAGGAGGCGGCGCCGGGGGCCGUUCGAGGGGCAGCAGCAGAUGAAGGUGCCGCCGCCGAAGCACCAGCCGAGGGGCCGGGCGGGGAGGUGGGUGCGGAUGGAGUUGCUGGAGCAGCGGGCGAGGCCGCGGCAGCCGCACAGGCAGAUGAUGGCGGAGCGGGGGCUCGUGGGCGAGGGGCGGCGGAUGCUGCUGCCGACCCGCCGGCACGCGACCCAGGAGUGGCCGCCCCUGCCGCGGCUGGGGACCGACGAGCUGGUGCGGCUGGAGAGGGCGCAGAAGGAGAGGCCGACGUCGCGGCCGCGGUUGUAGCGCGUGUUGUACCGGCAGGCGCGGCGGCGCGGGCCGCGCGACGGGCUCCCGCGGCGGCAGGCCCCGGAGUACCGGCACGUGGGGAUGAAGUGCCCGUUCCUCGGGCACCCGCGCCUCCGGCGCAAGCCGGGGCUGCACGCGCUGAAGUACCUGGCGUGGACCGCGAAGCACAAGGGCCCGAGCGAGCCGGACCUGCUGGGGUUGCACUUGGGCAAGCACUGGCUGCUCCGCGCGCGGCGGCACCGGCCCUAGGGCACGCUCGCGCACGACCACACGCACCGGCUCCUGCUGCAGGACGAGUUCCUCGCGCCGGACACCAUGCGGGCGCUCGAGUUCCGGUCGCCGAUGCGGCCGCUCUAGCUCUACAAGCUCAGGUUCCCGCAGCCGGUGCGGAAGGUGAAGCUGGUCGACCCGAGGCCCCUCCCGCAGUUCGACGUCCUCGCGGACCACUUUAAGUAGUUCUUUACUCGCGGGCCACUUACCUAAGCCGUACCCUUAUUUUCUAAUUGAGCCUGCGAAACUAAAAAGCCUGUUAGAAACCUUUCAAACUCUACAUUACGCACGCACGUUUCAACAAACUACUAAGCAACCACUAAUAUUGUCUCGUAAAAGCUAGAACGAACCAGCUAAACCCGACUCUACUAAGAGUUGAGAGUUCCUUAGGACGUCUAGACCUCCGGGACUUGCUCGAAACAUCUAGUUAGCGGUAUUUCCUUGCUUUUGUCUAGACCUAGGAUGACAUGCCCAAUUGCCCACAGUAAACGAGGUCGGGCAGUUUAGACUACGAGGUGACAAACCGAUCAACACUCUCUUAAGGAAUAGACGGGUAAAAUUCACAAGAAAGGAUAAACCGGAUUAAAAAGGGAGGAAAACUGUGAUGUAUGUACAUCCAACACAAGAGAUACAACGUGAAAGUAGGUAAAACUGGCGGUUGUCAUUAUUCCCGGUCAAAAAACAUCGAAGAUCAUCGAACAACAAUUUUGUUCGGUUUUCGAGUUCUUGAGCAAAACCUCUUCGAUCGAGUUGAAUCCCGGGAUAAGUAAAAGGUAG
This 4228-nucleotide ribosomal RNA is filed under the name Triticum aestivum (bread wheat). Its description in RNAcentral is "partial small subunit ribosomal RNA". The record is from RNAcentral. Lineage: Eukaryota; Viridiplantae; Streptophyta; Magnoliopsida; Poales; Poaceae.